This 253-nucleotide ribosomal RNA is filed under the name uncultured bacterium. RNAcentral describes it as "partial 16S ribosomal RNA". It matches the Rfam family "Bacterial small subunit ribosomal RNA", at positions 524 to 776 of the family's 1533-position model. The record is from RNAcentral.
UACAGGGGGGGCAAGCGUUGUUCGGAAUUACUGGGCGUAAAGGGCUCGUAGGUGGCCAACUAAGUCGGACGUGAAAUCCCUCAGCUUAACUGGGGAACUGCAUCCGAUACUGGGUGGCUUGAGUUUGGGAGAGGGAUGCGGAAUUCCAGGUGUAGCGGUGAAAUGCGUAGAUAUCUGGAGGAAUACCGGUGGCGAAGGCGGCAUCCUGGACCGACAUUGACGCUGAGGAGCGAAAGCCAGGGGAGCAAACGGG